Molecule: ribosomal RNA, 510 nt
Filed under: uncultured bacterium
Lineage: Bacteria
Description: partial 16S ribosomal RNA
Rfam family: Bacterial small subunit ribosomal RNA
Source: RNAcentral
GACGAACGCUGGCGGCGUGCUUAACACAUGCAAGUCGAACGAAGAGCGAUGGAAGCUUGCUUCUAUCAAUCUUAGUGGCGAACGGGUGAGUAACGCGUAAUCAACCUGCCCUUCAGAGGGGGACAACAGUUGGAAACGACUGCUAAUACCGCAUACGAUCUGACCUCGGCAUCGAGGAUAGAUGAAAGGUGGCCUCUACGUGUAAGCUAUCACUGAAGGAGGGGAUUGCGUCUGAUUAGCUAGUUGGAGGGGUAACGGCCCACCAAGGCGAUGAUCAGUAGCCGGUCUGAGAGGAUGAACGGCCACAUUGGGACUGAGACACGGCCCAGACUCCUACGGGAGGCAGCAGUGGGGAAUCUUCCGCAAUGGACGAAAGUCUGACGGAGCAACGCCGCGUGAGUGAUGACGGCCUUCGGGUUGUAAAGCUCUGUUAAUCGGGACGAAAGGCCUUUUUGCGAAUAGUGAGAAGGAUUGACGGUACCGGAAUAGAAAGCCACGGCUAACUACGUG